GCCCAGCACUUAUUCUGAGACNUCCUUACGGUCACGAAAAGCGAGGACUGUAUGCCCUCGCACUCGGGGUCCCCUUAUNGCACUGGCGUGCAGUGUAAAGGUUUCGC
RNAcentral lists this ribosomal RNA (107 nucleotides) under unidentified archaeon H1-B1. RNAcentral describes it as "partial 16S ribosomal RNA". The record is from RNAcentral.